GUGGGGAAUAUUGGACAAUGGGCGAAAGCCUGAUCCAGCCAUGCCGCGUGUGUGAAGAAGGUCUUCGGAUUGUAAAGUACUUUAAGUUGGGAGGAAGGGCAGUAAGUUAAUACCUUGCUGUUUUGACGUUACCGACAGAAUAAGCACCGGCUAACUUCGUGCCAGCAGCCGCGGUAAUACGAAGGGUGCAAGCGUUAAUCGGAAUUACUGGGCGUAAAGCGCGCGUAGGUGGUUUUGUAAGUUGGGGGUGAAAUCCCCGGGCUCAACCUGGGAACUGCCUCCAAAACUGCAUGACUUGAGUACGGUAGAGGGUAGUGGAAUUUCCUGUGUAGCGGUGAAAUGCGUAGAUAUAGGAAGGAACACCAGUGGCGAAGGCGACUACCUGGACUGAUACUGACACUGAGGUGCGAAAGCGUGGGGAGCAAACAGGAUUAGAUACCCCGGUAGUCC
This 450-nucleotide ribosomal RNA is filed under the name uncultured bacterium. Its description in RNAcentral is "bacterial SSU rRNA". It matches the Rfam family "Bacterial small subunit ribosomal RNA", at positions 354 to 796 of the family's 1533-position model. The record is from RNAcentral.